AGCAGCCGCGGUAAUUCCAGCUCCAAUAGCGUAUAUUAAAGUUGCUGCAGUUAAAAAGCUCGUAGUUGAAUUUCGGGACCAUCAUGUCGGUCGUGCCUCGGUACGUACUGGCAUUGUUGGUUUCUCCCUUCUGAAGAACCAUGAUGUCAUUAAUUUGGUGUCUUGGGGAAUCAGGACUGUUACUUUGAAAAAAUUAGAGUGUUUAAAGCAGGCUCGCGCUUGAAUACAUUAGCAUGGAAUAAUGAAAUAGGACGUUUGAUUCUAUUUUGUUGGUUUCUAGGAUCGACGUAAUGAUUAAUAGGGAUAGUUGGGGGCAUUAGUAUUCAAUUGUCAGAGGUGAAAUUCUUGGAUUUAUUGAAGACUAACUACUGCGAAAGCAUUUGCCAAGGAUGUUUUCAUUAAUCAAGAACGAAAGUUAGGGGAUCGAAGACGAUCAGAUACCGUCGUAGU
RNAcentral lists this ribosomal RNA (450 nucleotides) under uncultured Glomeromycotina. Its description in RNAcentral is "SSU rRNA". It matches the Rfam family "Eukaryotic small subunit ribosomal RNA", at positions 569 to 1024 of the family's 1831-position model. The record is from RNAcentral. Lineage: Eukaryota; Fungi; Glomeromycota.